GACGAACGCUGGCGGCGUGCUUAACACAUGCAAGUCGAACGGAAAGGCCCUGCUUGCAGGGUACUCGAGUGGCGAACGGGUGAGUAACACGUGGGUGAUCUGCCCUGCACUUCGGGAUAAGCCUGGGAAACUGGGUCUAAUACCGGAUAUGACCUUCAAUGUAGUGUGGGGGGUGGAAAGAUUUAUCGGGGUGGGAUGAGCCCGCGGCCUAUCGGCUUGUUGGUGGGGUAAUGGCCUACCAAGGCGUCGACGGGUAGCCGGCCUGAGAGGGUGGACGGCAACAUUGGGACUGAGAUACGGCCCAGACUACUACGGGAGGCAGCAGUGGGGAAGAUUGCACAAUGGGCGGAAGCCGUAUGCAGCGACGCCGCGUGGGGGAUGACGGCCUUCGGGUUGUAAACCUCUUUCGACAGGGACGAAGCUUCGGUGACGGUACCUGUAUAAGAAGCACCGGCUAACUACGUG
RNAcentral lists this ribosomal RNA (465 nucleotides) under uncultured bacterium. Its description in RNAcentral is "partial 16S ribosomal RNA". It matches the Rfam family "Bacterial small subunit ribosomal RNA", at positions 28 to 507 of the family's 1533-position model. The record is from RNAcentral.